This 467-nucleotide ribosomal RNA is filed under the name uncultured bacterium. RNAcentral describes it as "partial 16S ribosomal RNA". It matches the Rfam family "Bacterial small subunit ribosomal RNA", at positions 29 to 507 of the family's 1533-position model. The record is from RNAcentral.
ACGAACGCUGGCGGCGUGCUUAACACAUGCAAGUCGAACGGAAAGGCCCUGCUUUUGUGGGGUGCUCGAGUGGCGAACGGGUGAGUAACACGUGAGUAACCUGCCCUUGACUUUGGGAUAACUUCAGGAAACUGGGGCUAAUACCGGAUAGGAGCUCCUGCUGCAUGGUGGGGGUUGGAAAGUUUCGGCGGUUGGGGAUGGACUCGCGGCUUAUCAGCUUGUUGGUGGGGUAGUGGCUUACCAAGGCUUUGACGGGUAGCCGGCCUGAGAGGGUGACCGGCCACAUUGGGACUGAGAUACGGCCCAGACUCCUACGGGAGGCAGCAGUGGGGAAUAUUGCACAAUGGGCGGAAGCCUGAUGCAGCAACGCCGCGUGCGGGAUGACGGCCUUCGGGUUGUAAACCGCUUUCGCCUGUGACGAAGCGUGAGUGACGGUAAUGGGUAAAGGAGCACCGGCUAACCACGUG